AUUUAUAUAAUAUAAAUUUAUAUUAUAUUUGGCUUCCAACCAAAAAAUCUAUUUUUAGUAUAAAUA
Molecule: transfer RNA, 66 nt
Filed under: Curculionoidea sp. 4 KM-2017
Lineage: Eukaryota; Metazoa; Arthropoda; Insecta; Coleoptera
Description: tRNA-Gly
Source: RNAcentral